AUACGGAGGGGGCUAGCGUUGUUCGGAAUUACUGGGCGUAAAGCGCACGUAGGCGGAUUAAAAAGUUAGAGGUGAAAUCCCAGGGCUUAACCCUGGAACUGCCUUUAAAACUAGUAGUCUAGAGUUCGAGAGAGGUGAGUAGAAUUCCAGGUGUAGAGGUGAAAUUCGUAGAUAUUUGGAGGAACACCAGUGGCGAAGGCGGCUCACUGGCUCGAUACUGACGCUGAGGUGCGAAAGCGUGGGGAGCAAACAGAAUUAGAAACCCUAGUAGUCC
RNAcentral lists this ribosomal RNA (274 nucleotides) under uncultured bacterium. Its description in RNAcentral is "partial 16S ribosomal RNA". It matches the Rfam family "Bacterial small subunit ribosomal RNA", at positions 523 to 796 of the family's 1533-position model. The record is from RNAcentral.